This 467-nucleotide ribosomal RNA is filed under the name uncultured bacterium. Its description in RNAcentral is "partial 16S ribosomal RNA". It matches the Rfam family "Bacterial small subunit ribosomal RNA", at positions 28 to 506 of the family's 1533-position model. The record is from RNAcentral.
GACGAACGCUGGCGGCGUGCUUAACACAUGCAAGUCGAACGGAAAGGCCCUGCUUUUGUGGGGUGCUCGAGUGGCGAACGGGUGAGUAACACGUGAGUAACCUGCCCUUGACUUUGGGAUAACUUCAGGAAACUGGGGCUAAUACCGGAUAGGAGCUCCUGCUGCAUGGUGGGGGUUGGAAAGUUUCGGCGGUUGGGGAUGGACUCGCGGCUUAUCAGCUUGUUGGUGGGGUAGUGGCUUACCAAGGCUUUGACGGGUAGCCGGCCUGAGAGGGUGACCGGCCACAUUGGGACUGAGAUACGGCCCAGACUCCUACGGGAGGCAGCAGUGGGGAAUAUUGCGCAAUGGGCGGAAGCCUGAUGCAGCAACGCCGCGUGCGGGAUGACGGCCUUCGGGUUGUAAACCGCUUUCGCCUGUGACGAAGCGUGAGUGACGGUAAUGGGUAAAGAAGCACCGGCUAACUACGU